UUCAGUAGGGUUUCACUUUUUAAAAAACCGGCCUCUUCUAAGCAGGGUCGGGCCUGGUUAGUACUUGGAUGGGAGACCGCCUGGGAAUGCCGGGUGCUGUAGGCU
This 105-nucleotide ribosomal RNA is filed under the name Myotis davidii. The record is from RNAcentral. Lineage: Eukaryota; Metazoa; Chordata; Mammalia; Chiroptera; Vespertilionidae.